GAAAUGUCUAGUACUGAAGAUACCUAAGAUUUUCAAAAUCUGAGUGUAUUUUUCUGCCAGAUACCACAAUAGAACAAAGAGAGUAAUCUCUGACCUUGCCGUGUGCUGACUUUUAGGAAUACCACAUUGUGAAGAAGUCUACCCGCUCCUUAAGCACGACUCAGGUGGAAUCUCCUUGGAGGCUCAUUCGGCCAUCCGUCAUCUCGAUCAUUGGGUUGUACAAAGAAAAAGGCAAGGGCCUUGGCUUUAGUAUUGCUGGAGGUCGAGACUGCAUUCGUGGACAGAUGGGGAUUUUUGUCAAAACCAUCUUCCCAAAUGGAUCAGCUGCAGAGGACGGAAGACUUAAAGAAGGGGAUGAAAUCCUAGAUGUAAAUGGAAUACCAAUAAAGGGCUUGACGUUUCAAGAAGCCAUUCAUACCUUUAAGCAAAUCCGGAGUGGAUUAUUUGUCUUAACGGUACGCACAAAGUUGGUGAGCCCCAGCCUCACACCCUGCUCG
RNAcentral lists this small RNA (497 nucleotides) under Pongo abelii (Sumatran orangutan). Its description in RNAcentral is "retained intron". Lineage: Eukaryota; Metazoa; Chordata; Mammalia; Primates; Hominidae. The record is from RNAcentral.